Molecule: ribosomal RNA, 164 nt
Filed under: uncultured Porphyrobacter sp.
Lineage: Bacteria; Pseudomonadati; Pseudomonadota; Alphaproteobacteria; Sphingomonadales; Erythrobacteraceae
Description: partial 16S ribosomal RNA
Rfam family: Bacterial small subunit ribosomal RNA
Source: RNAcentral
CGGGAGGCAGCAGUGGGGAAUAUUGGACAAUGGGCGAAAGCCUGAUCCAGCAAUGCCGCGUGAGUGAUGAAGGCCUUAGGGUUGUAAAGCUCUUUUACUGGGGAUGAUAAUGACAGUACCCAGAGAAUAAGCUCCGGCUAACUCCGUGCCAGCAGCCGCGGUAA